AGAUUGAACGCUAGCGGGAUGCUUUACACAUGCAAGUCGAACGGCAGCGCGGACUUCGGUCUGGCGGCGAGUGGCGAACGGGUGAGUAAUAUAUCGGAACGUGCCCAGUCGUGGGGGAUAACGCAGCGAAAGCUGUGCUAAUACCGCAUACGAUCUCUGGAUGAAAGCGGGGGACUCGCAAGGGCCUCGCGCGAUUGGAGCGGCCGAUAUCAGAUUAGCUAGUUGGUGGGGUAAAAGCCCACAAGGCGACGAUCUGUAGCUGGUCUGAGAGGACGACCAGCCACACUGGAACUGACGACACGGUCCAGACUCCGUACGGGAGGCAGCCAGGUGGGAAUUUGGACAAGUGGGACGAAAGCCUGAUCCAGCAAGUGCCGCGUGCGAGGAUGAAGGUCCGUUA
RNAcentral lists this ribosomal RNA (400 nucleotides) under uncultured soil bacterium. Its description in RNAcentral is "bacterial SSU rRNA". It matches the Rfam family "Bacterial small subunit ribosomal RNA", at positions 26 to 419 of the family's 1533-position model. The record is from RNAcentral.